AGAUGUCAGUUCCCAGUCUGUAUGAUGCCCAUCCAAUGAAUAAUUUCUCAAGAGGAAGAAGCUUUGAUGAUUCUGACCCAUACUUUAUUGAUGCUCCUUUAGAUGAGACUGAGGCAAAAACCUCAAGAAAAACAGUUCAAGACCACAAAAUUCUGAAAAAGAGCUGGUUUUAACAGGUUAGACGAUGAUAGAAAGAACUUUGUGAAUUCAGAUGUCUGAUUAUUCUCACUAGUCUUGAUCAGAUGGUGUUUUAUGGAUUCUUGAUGCUGUACUAAACGAAGAAGUGUCAAAUGAUGAGGUAUAUCAUGAAACUGUAGAGCCUAUCAUUCCCAUAAUUUUCCAACGUACGAAAGCUACUUGCUUUGCUUAUGGGCAAACAGGAAGUGGCAAAACAUAUACAAUGAAGCCACUGCCCCUUAGAGCAGUGAGAGACAUCUUGAGGCUCAUUCAUCAUACCUACAGGAACCAAGGCUUGCAGUUGUUUGUCAGCUUCUUUGAGAUAUAUGGGGGGAAACUCUUCGAUCUGCUCAGUGAUAGGAAGUAAGCUGUUUUCUGGGUUUUUUGUUGGCUUUCACCCUCCAGUGCAAUCUCAACUAGUUCUUGAGGACUUGGUGCUAGAACACAUAAUAUGAUAGAUUUUUGUUUUAGCUAUAAGAUAGUUGGUACUUUCAAUUUUGAAUCGAAAUAUGCAAUGAUCAUAUGUACUUGAUACUUGGUUCAUUUGGAUGGUAAUGUAUGAAUAUUUUGGAUGAUAUAUAAUAUUGUUAUUGGUGAUUUUAUCAUUUUGUUGUUUUAAAGUUAUUUAUUUAUUUCUUGAGAUAAAUAACAUAAAAAUCGAGAAAAAAUAUUAAAUAUGCUAGUUGUAGUUGAAAUACAUAACAGUAUAAAAAGUACAAAAAAAUCGUUA
Molecule: long non-coding RNA, 907 nt
Organism: Salvia miltiorrhiza (redroot sage)
Lineage: Eukaryota; Viridiplantae; Streptophyta; Magnoliopsida; Lamiales; Lamiaceae
Exons: 4
Source: RefSeq, a predicted model, not a curated record